This 221-nucleotide long non-coding RNA is filed under the name Musa acuminata (dwarf banana). RNAcentral describes it as "long non-coding RNA (MACU_LNC009803)". Lineage: Eukaryota; Viridiplantae; Streptophyta; Magnoliopsida; Zingiberales; Musaceae. The record is from RNAcentral.
CCUCUUAGAUGUCAUGAUCAACAGAUCCCACUAUUACCCGAGAAGGCACCAACGAAUGUCCGACCCUAUAGAUAUCCACAUUUCCAAAAGGCAGAGAUAGAGAGGAUUGUCACAGAGAUGCUCAAAACAGGAGUUAUACGAGCUAGUGUUAGCCCAUAUUCUUCCCCAGUCUUACUAGUCAGAAAGAAGGAUGGCUCAUGGCGGAUGUGUGUCGACUAUCG